RNAcentral lists this long non-coding RNA (368 nucleotides) under Dendronephthya gigantea. RNAcentral's name for it is "uncharacterized LOC114532434, transcript variant X1". Lineage: Eukaryota; Metazoa; Cnidaria; Anthozoa; Malacalcyonacea; Nephtheidae. The record is from RNAcentral.
CUCGUGAGAAUUCUACCGAAGCGGAUUCAACUUGUGGCUGAUCAAUGUCGUCGCCAGUCGUAGAAAGGUUCGAGAGGACAAAUGAUAAGGAUUUGGCAAAGAUUACAAGACGAGGAUGUUCACUAAUACUGCAUUGAACAUGUUCAGUGGAUUUUAGUUUAGCAACAACAUCAUGAGGACGGGAUCGUGCUACAUCAGAACACAUCUCAUGAGAAGAGAGAAAACUAAUCGUUACAAGGAAUUGUCUUGGAUAUAAAACGAAGAAACGAAAGUAUUUGUAAAGCGAAUACAGAACCAGCGAGAUUCAACAACGACUUGGUCUUAAUAUAUUUGGAGUACUAAAGGUUAUACCGAAGUUUACGAUUGAC